GCUAACUCCACAAUAAUUAUGGAAAAACGCUUAUGUAUUUUAUUAUUGCUGUCCCUGGUCGUCCUCUCCGCUGCGAGACCACAGGAGUUUGAUGAAGAUGAGGACCAUAGCCAAGCUGAAGAGAAAAAAGAUGACGUAGCUCGAGUACAAAUAAAGGUUUACAGAGGACCCACCAAGCACGACGGAUACGCACCAUGGGGCUUUUGGGUCAAGCAGCCUUCCGACGAUUAGCGCUAGAUGGCGCUACUAGUUAG
Long non-coding RNA from Cydia amplana, 254 nucleotides. RefSeq lists it as uncharacterized. Lineage: Eukaryota; Metazoa; Arthropoda; Insecta; Lepidoptera; Tortricidae. The record is from RefSeq and is a predicted model, not a curated record. The transcript is spliced from 3 exons.